This 4107-nucleotide long non-coding RNA is filed under the name Homo sapiens (human). Its description in RNAcentral is "HSALNT0058478". The record is from RNAcentral. Lineage: Eukaryota; Metazoa; Chordata; Mammalia; Primates; Hominidae.
UCUGUGUCUCAGCUCACAGGGCUUCCAGAUAGGAUCAUGGCCUAUAAAAUGCUUCAAGUAGUCCUGUGCUCAACAUUGCUUAUCGGAGCAUUGGGAGCGCCAUUUUUGUUGGAAGACCCUGCAAACCAGUUCCUACGUCUCAAAAGACAUGUAAAUUUGCAGGAUUACUGGGACCCAGAUCACAGUUCAGAUGUGUGGGUAAACACACUGGCUAAGCAGGUAUUUGUAUUAGAAACAAAUGGUCCUUCACCAUUUAUCUUUUUAAAUAGUCAUUGCAUUAGCUGACCACUAAUUAACACAUGACUAGCCUAGCCCUGAUUUUUCCUCUCUAGACACUCUGAACUAUAUCUGCUUUUUCUUGCCCAUGAAGUGGUUUUUGCCUGGUAAACUCUGCCUCUUGCUUAAAGACUAGACUCAAAUGUCCCUCUGAAGCCUUUCCCUUCUUCUCAGGGCGACAUUUGUCUUUCCUUCUCUCCCUUUUUGCAUGCUCUUUCACAAAUAAAUAGCUCUCAAAAUGUCAAUUGGAAUUACUUGUUUUGUGUACCCAACCUACCUACCUAGACUAUAAAGGUAGGGUCUGUAUCUUAUCCUUCAAGGUAAUUAUUCUCGGGAACUAGCAAAAUGAUUGUUAUAUAGUCAAAGCUUAAUAAAUUAUUACAUGUAUGUGUAGAUUGAUGAAUGGAUAGUGGUCGGACUUUAGUUCACUUUCAGUUGUUCAGUAGCUAAAUAUCCCCGGUGACAAUUAUUCAAGGCUUUAAUGUUGUUCCUCCUUUUGCUUGCCUUUUGUACAUUUUCCUAUUCAUUUGCAUUCUCGCUGCAAAAGAAACAAAGAAGAAAUUUGCAUUGGCCUUUUUUAUUCUAUAUUUACUUUUCUGAUAGAAGAAGACAUUAAAACUCCAGGCCAAAUGAAAUUGCUGAAUUAUCUGAGUAUUUCAAUUAUUCAUGAUCUCCCUCUUACAAUUUAGCAAUUUAGGAAACAAAGUUGUAUAAUGAAUGAAUGAAUUCUUUCACUUAUUCUUUCUUUCUUUCCACAUAUCUCAGGAUCUGAUUAUCAUCAGGCAUGAGGAUUGUAUAAAGUCAUAAAAAGUUGAAUGUCCUUGUUUUCAUGGGGCCUUGAUCUUGUCCGUACUCCACAUAACUGGGUCUUAACCGGUCUACCAGGAUCUGCUUGUUUUGCACUUGCUGAUGAAAACUACUAACUGAAUAAUGCAUCCAGUUUUAUGGCUGUUUUUGUCCAAUAGGCAUUAUUUAGCAUUAUUAAAACAAGACAUUUGUUUAUUUGGUCAAUUAAGUGAUUAAGUAGGCUGGUAGACUGUGUCUUCUUUAUAGAAUGUUGACAUUUUCAGGUACUCUCCUGCCUCUACUUGUAGACCAGAUUUGUACCAACUGACAGGCACUAUGUAAUGUAGCAAGACUCUGCUACAUUGGUUUAUACUGUGGCCCCACAAAUACUGUAAAAUAUCUGAGUAUUGAAAUAAACAGAUAAUUAAAAGUAUGAAAACCAAAUUCUAUUUGGUAUAAUUCUUCCAUUAUAUUUUUCUCAUCUUUUAGGAAUAUCUGUAUGAUAAUCAGAAUAACUGAUGCAAGAUGUGUUCUACACACUCAGAGAUCAUGACUUGUGUUUCCUUUUCUUGAAGGCUCGUGAAACAUGGAUUGCUUUGAAAACAACAGCACAGUAUUAUUUGGAUAUGAAUACCUUCACCUUUGACAUGUCUACUGCCCAGUAAAUAUGUUUUCCUGGUUAAAGCAGGAGGAUGAAGAUGGCAGAGGUUGGAAUGGCAUUGUGCCAAAACCAUGGGUUUUAGAGAUCUGAGGGUAUAUCCAUGCUGUUUACUACAUUAUUUAUUAUGUCUGUCUCAAAGUUGUUGAAAACAGUAGUUAUGAAAACCCAUGUAGGAAACUGGAAUAAGACAUUCUCAAUAAAUGGUAGUUCUCAAAAAAAGAACUAAAAAAAAAAAAGGCUGUAGUAAUAACAUUUACCAAAACGAUGGCAUUUAUGGGAAAAGGAAAGCAAAAACAUAAACAAAGAAAAGUAGUUUCAUUAAACCACUCUGUUCAUAGCUUUUACUCUCUAUUGCCUCUUCUUUGAGAGAGUUUUUUAAUUCAAAGAAGGACAGGGAGCUCUCAAAUGGAGCUGAUCCUCUUCUCUCUUCUUCAGUGCUUGUCGCAUUCUUAAGUCAGUCGAUUUUAAAACCAUGACUUUGAAACGUUUUUCAUCAAAGGUGUACUGCUGAGUGGAGAAUACAGCCUUACCUUAAUACAACAAGUAGAUAGUGGCUAGGAACUCAAUGGAAGUCAUUCACUUGUAAGUGCAAACUUCUUCCAAGUUUUGUAAAAUUUUUGUAAGCUUUGCAUUCUGUUCCACAAUUUAUUGAUGUUUGUUUUAAUGUGAAAUAACAGUUUUGACUCACUGGCCAGGCACAUUUUAUAAUUUUUUCAAUUAAAACUGAAAAAUUGGCCAUAGGGAAAAGUGGACUGCAUUUAUCCUAUAACUUUCCUAAUAUUCAUGGAUUACCACCUCAGUUUGAGAAGCAUUGAGAUGAUACAACUAAUUGCCAAGAUUGCCCCCCAAAAUCACAGGUAAAUGGAAUUUUUGUCUUCAGAAGUCUAUUUAUCUCCAUUCUCUAUUCUCUAUUUUAGUUGUUCUCUCGAACAAUUUAUUUUUACCUUUUAAGGUAAAUGGAAACAUUUCCCUAAGACCUUAGUUGAUCUUAUGUGGUCUUAAAACAAUCUUAAGCACUUUUUGAGUGGCAAGUAAAUCAGAAAAACCAAAUGCCAAGAAGUUGACUGGAAGGACUUUGGCCUCAGCAAUUUCUUCUCCAAAAGGACACUGACAGCUGCUCAGUGUUUCACAUUUCCCAUCCUAUGGCCUAGAGGUGUUUUCAGUGAGAAAUUUAAGGCUAAUUUAUAACUUAUUAAGUUAACUGCUAUCCAUUUCCAAUAAAUAUGAACAUAGAUUUUUAAAUUACAUCUGAACAAACAAAACAAAGAUGAUGAAUCAUUUAGUUUUGCAGUGGGAAAUAAGUUUGAGAUUGUACAUAAAUAUAUCUUCAGUGUUUUACCAAUAAUAUACAUUUUACUAACACAAAGUUUCAUUCUUUAAUUAUUUAAUAAAAAAUUGAGAAUGUCUGUGUAUUAGGGUUCUCCAGAGAAACAGAACCAAUAGGAUAUGUAUAUAUAGAGAUGCUCCUCAACAUACGAUGGCGUUACAUCCCAAUAAACCCGUCACACGCUGAAAAUAUCAUAAGUCAAAAGUGCAUUUAAUACACCUGACCUACCCAACCUCAUAGCUUUGCCUAGCCCACUGAUAUGGUUUGGCUCUGUGUUCCCACCCAAAUCUCAUGUUAAAUUGUAAUUCCCAUGGCCGGGCAUGGUGGCUCACACCUCUAACGCAGUCUGCUGGAAGAAUUCCCUCUUCCUUACGAUAGGUCAGUUCUUUGUUCCUUCCAAGACUUCAGCUGAUUAAAUAAGUCUCAUUCCUAUUAUACAGGGUAAUCUCCUUAACCCAAAGCCAACCAAUUUAAUGUAAAUCUUAUCCAAAAAUACACUCACAGAAGCAUUCAUUUAAUAUUCGACCAUGUUUACAUAUUCUACUGGAGGAUUACAAACAUAAAUACUGUGGUGACUCUGAACUCUUCUGAAGCAGGUUUUCAUUGUGAAGUUUAAAGGGAACUCUGUUGGUUUGCCUUCUUCACCUGCUUAAUACAGAGGCCCACUAUGUAACUGGAAAUGACAGGUAAGGAUAAUCCUACUAAAUCCAGACUCCCAGAGGCUUCUGUCCAAAUUUGAGGCUCACUGGUCUGACCCUAUACAAGCACUCUUCUGCCUAAGCUUUCCUGCAUUUUCUGUAGAACAAGUCAACAUAUAUGCCAAGGAUCAGGCUGACCCUUUUUAUGUCUCUUGAACAUCCUACCCUCUAGAAUUCAUGUAAUGUUGAUUCACAUGCUUUCCCAGUGGACAUUUCAAUGCCAUAUUAAUACGGGGAAACAAUUCCAAGUCUUCCUUUGAUGAUAUGAAAAGCAUGGUGCUAAUCUUGUUAUGUAUCCUAUUCAACCACUUUUCAAAACCUUCGACUGAUUAAAAAAGAGGAAGUAAACAUUUAUUGAG